Long non-coding RNA from Columba livia (rock pigeon), 2468 nucleotides. RefSeq lists it as uncharacterized. The transcript has 7 exons. The record is from RefSeq and is a predicted model, not a curated record. NCBI's taxonomy places the organism in Eukaryota, Metazoa, Chordata, Aves, Columbiformes, Columbidae.
CUGGGAGACUUUUGCACUCAUACAGAUGGUGAUUCCAGUCUCCUGGUCAAAGUCAAGCUGUAUUAAUUGUGUUUUCCCUCUGCUUUUUACCGUGUCAAUUCUUGUUCCCUUUCAGGCUACAGCCAUGGUCUAUACCACAGUCCUGAAGUACGACUGUAGCUGGUUGUGAUGCACCUGUGACUAGUUAGUUGGAAGCCAACACCUGGGCAACCACAGCUGCUCAGUAUUUAAACAGGGACCUCAGAGUUCUCUCUUUUCCUCUGAUGAUGGCUACAGCACUACUGAAGCUGUCCCAUCCCAAAUUACCGGCUAUUUGGGUCUCAGCCUACAAUCCCACUCAGCCAGGAGACUCUGUCCUCUAGACAACAUCUAAGAAAGAAAAUAUGAGCCCAAGCAUGCCAUGGAGAUCGUUCUGCGGAAGAGCUUUGUCACUGGAGCUCCAUUCUUGUCGCUCAAGCCGAGCCAGUUCCUGGAGAACUCUGUGGGUCUUGAAGCAAAAAGGCAAUCAAGCCUGCAAAAUGAAAACUUGCUUUCUGUGAGCAUUAACCAUAGAAGAGGCUCAGUCAUGGCAGCUGGAGAAACCAAGAUGAUAAAUCCAUGAGAGUGGGCAGAAUCAGAUCCACACAGCACUGUCUUUGGAUAGUCUGUGCCACUCGUGCAGAAUCAAUCCCUCCUGGCUCUCCUUGCUGCAGGUUCCUCAUUGGGUUUUGCAGCUCAGAGGAGCUGGCAAGUGGCAACACUGGCAUUGUCGCGUGUGCCCCUGUGAUACCACUCAAAGGGAAGAGCAUGGCACACAGCCGGAGCAAAACCAGGAUGUUUUAAGCCAUUUUCUCCAGCAUCUAGGCGUUCGGCAGCCGGCUCGCGCUCGAGCGGUGGAAGUCCUGUAUUUCUUCAGGACAAACAAGUACUUGCUCUGGACCUUCACCUACUGACUGAGACUUUCCCGGGGCUGAGCCCAACUCUGAGAAUGCUGAUGCACAAACACGGGUUCUGCAGAUGCGGCUGGCCGGGCUUCCGUCGCUGCAGGGUGACGUUGCACAGGGUGACAAAGGAUGGGUUGACCCUGAGAACCGGCCACUGUCAUCUGGGUACUGAUUAAAUGGAUUAGUUCUUGGUGCUCACAUUCCCCAAAGGCAACUAACUACUCUGUGCGCACCAAUGUGUUCAGAGGUAUCUUCAUGAAAAUGCUGCUGAUUCCCACUUAGUCAGGGGCGUGAUGAGCUUCAGUUAGGUUAAUAUGAGUAAUUACAGUCAACUACUGUUUUAGGGCAAACUGAGCUUUCCCCAGUAAUUGUAGAUAUUAGUUACCAGUCUGCGUACAGUGGUGUGUAUUUUUAUAGUUAUGAAAGCUUACUAGUAAUUGAAUGAUAGAUUAUUGCUAUUAUCCUGUAUAUCUGGGAGAAAACAGAUAAUUUUGUUGCUUUUUCGUGUGUUCUGUUACAAAUAGGAGCUGGGUUUUAUCUAUUUGCUAUGGAAAAGUCUAUGCCAAUAUCCUUCCCUUCAGCUGCCUGCAGCAUUUUACAGUACAGAAAUAAGAGACCAGCUGCUUGAAUUAAAUCAAGUGUUUUCCAGAGUCUGCUCAAGAGUGAUGGUGAAGCCUUUGCUUGAUUUCUCGGAAUGCAAAGGGUGAUAAGUGUGUUUUGCUGGGGAUCUCUGAGCCCCACAAGGCAGCUCAGAGAGGGACCCAGGCUGGGGCAGACAGGUCCCUGGGGAGGGAGUGCUCUUAAGCUCCUCUGUAGCAAUUACUGCAUUAACUGCUCCCUCACAUGCUCAAGUUUUUCAUUUUGACAAGGUGGCAGACCCUGGAUUUUGGAGUGGCAUGCAGUAUACACACCCAUAGCAGUGUGGGGAAGGAUUUACAUUGCUCAGCAGGACAGAGGGAUUCAAGUGGCAAAUAGCAGCCUGCCUUGUGCUGGAUCAGUUGUGUUGGGACGUACUUUUGGUAGGGUUCAGGGCUGCUUCAUGUCUUCAAGGUUAUAACCUUGCCCUAAGACGUUGUUACGGCAUGUGGUGGGGAAGAUGGUUUUGCCUUCCUCUUCUGCUCCCACAUGUUCAUCUCUGCAGCUCCAGCCACCCCCUGACAGGCUGUCUGUAAAGUAAAAGGAUUUCACUGGAGAAAACUGAGCAUCCCUUGAUUCUGUGCCCCAUCUGUUUUGGCUAAUACCAAUCACAGCAGUCACAUGCUCCAAGAUGAUCACUCAGGCCAGUGGCAGUCUGCUGAGAAAUAGAGUUCCUUUAUAGCUAAGAUAGGAAGAUAAGGUAUUGCUAUGUUAUUUAAAGCAGAGUAUUUAUGCCUGAAUAAAGUUACUCCAGUUUCGGAGCUGGGUGUUUGCCUGGAAAGUCAGGAUUUACAUUCCACCCCAGGGACAGAAGCUCCCUUGUACACUUUCAUAUCUCUCUUUUCUUCAAAGUCAUAUGCCUCACCUACAGCUUCAUUACUACCUACAAUUACAACAUACAGCUCCCAU